AGAGUUUGAUCCUGGCUCAGGACGAACGCUGGCGGCGUGCUUAACACAUGCAAGUCGAACGGAAAGGCCCUUCGGGGUACUCGAGUGGCGAACGGGUGAGUAACACGUGGGUGAUCUACCCUGCACUUUGGGAUAAGCCUGGGAAACUGGGUCUAAUACCGAAUAGGACCGCGCGCUUCAUGGUGUGUGGUGGAAAGCUUUUGCGGUGUGGGAUGGGCCCGCGGCCUAUCAGCUUGUUGGUGGGGUAAUGGCCUACCAAGGCGACGACGGGUAGCCGGCCUGAGAGGGUGACCGGCCACACUGGGACUGAGAUACGGCCCAGACUCCUACGGGAGGCAGCAGUGGGGAAUAUUGCACAAUGGGCGCAAGCCUGAUGCAGCGACGCCGCGUGAGGGAUGACGGCCUUCGGGUUGUAAACCUCUUUCACCAGGGACGAAGCGCAAGUGACGGUACCUGGAGAAGAAGCACCGGCCAACUACGUGCCAGCAGCCGCGGUAAUACGUAGGGUGCGAGCGUUGUCCGGAAUUACUGGGCGUAAAGAGCUCGUAGGUGGUUUGUCGCGUUGUUCGUGAAAACUCACAGCUUAACUGUGGGCGUGCGGGCGAUACGGGCAGACUAGAGUACUGCAGGGGAGACUGGAAUUCCUGGUGUAGCGGUGGAAUGCGCAGAUAUCAGGAGGAACACCGGUGGCGAAGGCGGGUCUCUGGGCAGUAACUGACGCUGAGGAGCGAAAGCGUGGGGAGCGAACAGGAUUAGAUACCCUGGUAGUCCAA
RNAcentral lists this ribosomal RNA (773 nucleotides) under uncultured bacterium. RNAcentral's name for it is "bacterial SSU rRNA". It matches the Rfam family "Bacterial small subunit ribosomal RNA", at positions 8 to 798 of the family's 1533-position model. The record is from RNAcentral.